UACGGAGGGAGCUAGCGUUGUUCGGAAUUACUGGGCGUAAAGCGCACGUAGGCGGCUUUGUAAGUGAGAGGUGAAAGCCCGGGGCUCAACUCCGGAAUUGCCUUUAAGACUGCAUCGCUUGAAUCCGGGAGAGGUGAGUGGAAUUCCGAGUGUAGAGGUGAAAUUCGUAGAUAUUCGGAAGAACACCAGUGGCGAAGGCGGCUCACUGGACCGGUAUUGACGCUGAGGUGCGAAAGCGUGGGGAGCAAACAGG
Molecule: ribosomal RNA, 253 nt
Filed under: uncultured bacterium
Lineage: Bacteria
Description: partial 16S ribosomal RNA
Rfam family: Bacterial small subunit ribosomal RNA
Source: RNAcentral